GUUUCUGUAGUGUAGUGGUUAUCACGUUCUCUUUACACGCGAAAGGUCCCUGGUUCGAAACCGGGCAGAUGCA
Molecule: transfer RNA, 73 nt
Filed under: Merluccius polli (Benguela hake)
Lineage: Eukaryota; Metazoa; Chordata; Actinopteri; Gadiformes; Merlucciidae
Rfam family: tRNA
About the family: Transfer RNA (tRNA) molecules are approximately 80 nucleotides in length. Their secondary structure includes four short double-helical elements and three loops (D, anti-codon, and T loops).
Source: Rfam by way of RNAcentral